RNAcentral lists this ribosomal RNA (200 nucleotides) under uncultured bacterium. RNAcentral describes it as "partial 16S ribosomal RNA". It matches the Rfam family "Bacterial small subunit ribosomal RNA", at positions 1300 to 1500 of the family's 1533-position model. The record is from RNAcentral.
GCAGGCUGAAAUUCGCCUGUAUGAAGCCGGAAUUGCUAGUAAUGGCAGGUCAGCAUACUGCCGUGAAUACGUUCCCGGGCCUUGUACACACCGCCCGUCACACCAUGAGAGUUGGGGAUACCCAAAGCCCGUGAGCCAACUUUUAGAGGCAGCGGUCUAAGGUAGAAUCAAUGAUUGGGGUGAAGUCGUAACAAGGUAUC